RNAcentral lists this ribosomal RNA (459 nucleotides) under uncultured bacterium. RNAcentral describes it as "partial 16S ribosomal RNA". It matches the Rfam family "Bacterial small subunit ribosomal RNA", at positions 338 to 795 of the family's 1533-position model. The record is from RNAcentral.
CCUACGGGAGACAGCAGUGAGGAAUAUUGGUCAAUGGUCGGGAGACUGAACCAGCCAAGCCGCGUGAGGGAGGAAGGUACAGAGUAUCGUAAACCUCUUUUGUCAGGGAACAAAGGCGGGGACGUGUCCCCGGAUGAGUGUACCUGAAGAAAAAGCAUCGGCUAACUCCGUGCCAGCAGCCGCGGUAAUACGGAGGAUGCGAGCGUUAUCCGGAUUUAUUGGGUUUAAGGGGUGCGCAGGCGGUCUGUUAAGUCAGCGGUAAAAGCCCGGGGCUAAACCCGGGCCCGCCGUUGAAACUGGCAGUCUCGAGUUGGAGAGAAGUAUGCGGAAUGCGCGGUGUAGCGGUGAAAUGCAUAGAUAUCGCGCAGAACUCCGAUUGCGAAGGCAGCAUGCCGGCUCCACACUGACGCUGAGGCACGAAAGCGUGGGUAUCGAACAGGAUUAGAUACCCUGGUAGUC